AUUGAACGCUGGCGGCGUGCUUAACACAUGCAAGUCGUGCGGUAACAGGCGUAGCAAUACGUGCUGACGAGCGGCGAACGGGUGCGUAAUACAUGGGAAUCUGCCUUUUAGUGGGGAAUAACCCGGCGAAAGCCGGGCUAAUGCCGCAUAAGAUCUUCGGAUGAAAGCGGGGGAUCGUAAGACCUCGCGCUGAUAGAUGAGCCCAUGCCGGAUUAGCUAGNGGUGAGGUAACGGCUCACCAAGGCGACGAUCCGUAGCUGGUCUGAGAGGACGGCCAGCCACACUGGGACUGAGACACGGCCCAGACUCCUACGGGAGGCAGCAGUGGGGAAUAUUGGACAAUGGGGGAAACCCUGAUCCAGCGACGCCGCGUGUGUGAAGAAGG
Molecule: ribosomal RNA, 385 nt
Filed under: uncultured bacterium
Lineage: Bacteria
Description: bacterial SSU rRNA
Rfam family: Bacterial small subunit ribosomal RNA
Source: RNAcentral